AGAUGUGAGGACAAUUUGGCUGCAACAUCUGUCAGCCUAUUGAUCACCAGGAUCAUUUAGCUGAUCUGACUGGCUAGAUGGGUGUCUACUUCCUCCCUCCCUGUUCCAUCUGUGUCAUUCCCAAAGCUGCACAGUCUGUCCAAGAGAACAACUUUCCCCAAAUAUAGGAGAACCAUUCUUUGAUCAAGGGUAUAGGAGUAACUGUGCUGCACCACUAGAUCCUCCAAACAAGCUCUCAAAAAGUGACAGUUGAGCUGAAAUGUGAACAAUAAUGAUCAAUUAAGUAGAGU
Molecule: small nuclear RNA, 290 nt
Filed under: Jaculus jaculus (lesser Egyptian jerboa)
Lineage: Eukaryota; Metazoa; Chordata; Mammalia; Rodentia; Dipodidae
Description: 7SK RNA (ENSJJAG00000002083.1)
Rfam family: 7SK RNA
About the family: 7SK was discovered as an abundant small nuclear RNA in the mid-70s but a possible function has only recently been suggested.
Source: Rfam by way of RNAcentral